UAGAACGCUGAAGGAGGAGCUUGCUUCUCUGGAUGAGUCGCGAACGGGUGAGUAACGCGUAGGUAACCUGCCUGGUAGCGGGGGAUAACUAUUGGAAACGAUAGCUAAUACCGCAUAAUAGUAGUUGUUGCAUGACAACUGUUUGAAAGGUGCAAUUGCAUCACUACCAGAUGGACCUGCGUUGUAUUAGCUAGUUGGUGGGGUAACGGCUCACCAAGGCGACGAUACAUAGCCGACCUGAGAGGGUGAUCGGCCACACUGGGACUGAGACACGGCCCAGACUCCUACGGGAGGCAGCAGUAGGGAGUCUUCGGCAAUGGACGGAAGUCUGACCGAGCAACGCCGCGUGAGUGAAGAAGGUUUUCGGAUCGUAAAGCUCUGUUGUAAGAGAAGAACGAGUGUGAGAGUGGAAAGUUCACACUGUGACGGUAUCUUACCAGAAGGGGACGGCUAACUACGUGCCAGCAGCCGCGGUAAUACGUAGGUCCCGAGCGUUGUCCGGAUUUAUUGGGCGUAAAGCGAGCGCAGGCGGUUAGAUAAGUCUGAAGUUAAAGGCUGUGGCUUAACCAUAGUACGCUUUGGAAACUGUUUAACUUGAGUGCAAGAGGGGAGAGUGGAAUUCCAUGUGUAGCGGUGAAAUGCGUAGAUAUAUGGAGGAACACCGGUGGCGAAAGCGGCUCUCUGGCUUGUAACUGACGCUGAGGCUCGAAAGCGUGGGGAGCAAACAGGAUU
This 732-nucleotide ribosomal RNA is filed under the name uncultured Streptococcus sp. RNAcentral's name for it is "bacterial SSU rRNA". It matches the Rfam family "Bacterial small subunit ribosomal RNA", at positions 62 to 779 of the family's 1533-position model. The record is from RNAcentral. Lineage: Bacteria; Bacillati; Bacillota; Bacilli; Lactobacillales; Streptococcaceae.